Molecule: non-coding RNA, 75 nt
Organism: Podarcis lilfordi (Lilford's wall lizard)
Lineage: Eukaryota; Metazoa; Chordata; Lepidosauria; Squamata; Lacertidae
Source: the annotation of a GenBank genome assembly
GGAAUGGUUGUAGCUCAAUAGCAGAGCAACUGCUUCGCACGCAGAAGGCCCCAGGUUGACUCUCUGGCACCUCCA